AUUGAACGCUGGCGGCAGGCCUAACACAUGCAAGUCGACGCAAGCGGCGGACGGGUGAGUAAUGUCUGGGAAACUGCCUGAUGGAGGGGGAUAACUACUGGAAACGGUAUCUAAUACCGCAUACUAUCAGAUUAGCCUAGGUCGGAUUAGCUAGUGGGUGGGGUAAAGGCCUACCAAGGCGACGCUCCGUAACUGGUCUGAGAGGAUGAUCAGUCACGCUGGAACUGAGACACGGUCCAGACUCCUACGGGAGGCAGCAGUGGGGAAUAUUGGACAAUGGGGGAAAGCCUGAUCCCUCCAUGCCGCGUUUGUGAAGAAGGGCUUCGGAUUGUAAAGCACUUUAAGUUGGGAGGCGUUACCAACAGAAUAAGCACCGGCUAACUUCGUGCCAGAGCCGCGGUAAUAC
This 406-nucleotide ribosomal RNA is filed under the name uncultured bacterium. RNAcentral describes it as "partial 16S ribosomal RNA". It matches the Rfam family "Bacterial small subunit ribosomal RNA", at positions 30 to 526 of the family's 1533-position model. The record is from RNAcentral.